UCACUUGUUCUUUAAAUGAGGACUAGUAUGAACGGCACCACGAGGGUUAUACUGUCUCCUCUCCCUAAUCAGUGAAACUAAUCCCCCCGUGAAGAAGCGGGGAUAAAACUAUAAGACGAGAAGACCCUAUGGAGCUUUAAACUUAUCCUCAAACGCCAAAAUUACACACCAAGUUUUAAACUUCACCACAUGAACUUUCGCGCCGUGAGGACAAUUUUUAGGUUGGGGUGACCAUGGAGUACAAAAUAACCUCCAUGCUGAAUAGGCCUCCAAGCCUUGAGCCAAGGGCUACGACCCAUCGCACUAAAAUAUUAACAUCCAUUGAUCCAAUGUACUUUGAUCAACGAACCAAGUUACCCUAGGGAUAACAGCGCAAUCUACUUCAAGAGUUCCUAUCGACAAGUAGGUUUACGACCUCGAUGUUGGAUCAGGGUGUCCCAGUGGUGCAGCCGCUACUAAUGGUUCGUUUGUUCAACGAUUAAAACCCUA
Molecule: ribosomal RNA, 489 nt
Filed under: Scinax ruber (red snouted treefrog)
Lineage: Eukaryota; Metazoa; Chordata; Amphibia; Anura; Hylidae
Description: partial 16S ribosomal RNA
Rfam family: Bacterial large subunit ribosomal RNA
Source: RNAcentral